Alligator mississippiensis (American alligator) is the source of this 7826-nucleotide long non-coding RNA. RefSeq lists it as uncharacterized. Lineage: Eukaryota; Metazoa; Chordata; Crocodylia; Alligatoridae. The record is from RefSeq and is a predicted model, not a curated record. The transcript is spliced from 5 exons.
GCAGCCGUGGUGACAGGAUACAUUCUUUGCCUCAUACGCGCUGCAGGGCCAUGAGUGCCAGAGACUUCGGGGGGAAGAAAGGCUACUUGAGUCGCAUCAAAGACAACCACCACCGAAGCGCAAUUGAAGCCUGCAACCGUAGCCAGCCUGAAAGCCGGCUUUGCGCAGGACGCUUUGUUCUCUGAUCGGCCCCUCCGCUUUGUGAGCUCCCUUCCAGCAUCAGCUGGGCGCGGUGUGUUGGGAGUUGUGGUGUCUUCUCAGAGGGAAUCCAGUAGCAGGUGACAUGAGCUCGGGGUGGAGAAGGGGGCUCUAUUCUUAGGCCCCCUACUCCAUAACAGACAGUCUGGCGUGGCUGCUUGGCCUGUCCCCUCAUGCAAGUAUGGGGUAAACCAUUGCCUUUCACCCGCAACACCCCCUGGUUUCACGAGGGAGAAGUGGCUGUUGACACCCGCUGGCCCUAUGUCACCUUUGGCAUUGCUGGGUGUCACUCAGCUGAGCUCAGGUCUUACACAACAGCAGGUUUGCUAGCACAGCUGCUGUCAGCUUAAUGCAGAGAUGUAACAGAGGCUUCAUCUAAGCUCCAGUAAAGAGCAUCCCUCUUCCCAUCUUCGUGGAAACUGAAUUGCAACCCCCUGCCAUUUGCCAGGGCUUUCAAGGAGAUUAAAGGAGGCAUGAGCCUGAGAACCAUCUUGCUGUAACUCCCUCAGCUCCAUGGGCUGGUUAUCAGGGACCACUUGUGUUUCAGCAAGCCUUCCCCCACUGUCCUAAAGCCCAUCAGCUCCCCUAACUCCAUCCCUUCUGCCUGGCCUGUGGAUGUUCUUGUAUGAAACCCAGCAUCCCAGACAUUCAUGUCUGUCCUUCAUGUCCAUGAUGUGGCUUCCAAGAUUGGCAUUCUACAGAACCAGCAAGGGCUAAAUACAGCCUGACAGCCAGACUCGCCCUGAAAUUCAGAGGGGUUUUGAAGCAUGUUGCUAAUGAGGAUGGGGGGUUCACAUACUACCUGCUCUUCCCGGCUGCCUGACAAGUGAAAUAAUAGCUCAACAUAUUGUGCUGGACCAAUGGCUUUCUUCCUGCAGCCCUGCUGAUGGAACUGGUGGCAUGUGAAGUAUUUGACAAGCGUGAUGCUGCAGCUUGGGUAUCUUUUGUGGCAUUUCUUGCUUGGUUUUCAGGAAGAAGAGAAGACUCUUGGUAGCCUCCCUAUAACUGGCACCCUGACUCCCUCAAAAUGCUUCACAGGACCCAGGGCAUAGAUUAUGGCAAUGCAGGGUGAAGCCUAUACAGCACUAGGAAAUGAGAACCUCUCAAGGGGGAAUUGGGGAACAUGUGGCAUCAUGACAUCCCUGGGGAGCUUUCCAGUAUCUUCUGGGGAAUCCCAGACAGAAGUCCCAACCUUGUGUAUGGUGAAUGUUGCUCUUGGUAUCUUACCGGGCUCACAUCACAGACUUGUCCCUUCCUCAGGCCCAUCUCAUGUCCAAGCUUCACCUGUCUUGCACAGAGUUAUUUCAGUUGUGGGGCUGUAGGUAAGAACAGCACAUCACCCACAUGUUCUCCUUAAUGAUGGGCUGUCCUUGGGGCCUCCCCAGCAAAACCUGCCUGAACCUUGGGGAGAAGUGUAUGCUGAGCCGGACACCCACCUGCAAUUUUGUAGCCUGACCUCUCUCUCGUUCUACUCCUAGUGAGACCCUUCUCCUGAAUGCUGGUGUUUGCUUAGUACUUACAAAGAGAGGUUAGUCAUCAAAGGCAAGAGGAACCUACAGGACCAUGCAGUGCUCUGGGAGAUGAAGCUGCUAAUUUAGGGCACUAUGUGUGAGUGUAGAAGCUUAACUUCAAAAACCUGUUUGUUGUAGCACCUGAGCCACAAUAUUUUUUCUUUCCAGAUAACCACCAGCAGAUUGGCUGAAGCCUUGUUUAUGGUGGGAGAGAGUGGUAUGCCUCACAGGAAGCAUGUGAAGCAUGGACAGUAGGACCAAACAAACCAUUAAGCUGUGAGCUCCUCAGGCCAGUGCCUGCUCAUCAUGGGCACUAACUUAAAUAUUUAAUAACAGUCAUUAAUAAUGUUGGCAUCUGCCCAAGGAAUCCUUGCCAUUUUGCCCAAUGCUACAGCAGCCUCUUUGUGAGUAAUCCAUGCAGGCAUUCUGGUGUGGACUUUAAUGUCUGUUACAUCACACAGGAAGGGCUUGGUAGACUUGGGGCCUUCCUUGUUACAAAAAGCUUGGACAGGAACCCGGCGGCAGUGAGGCAGGGAGGUUUGCUUGAAAGAGCCUGAAACAGUAGAUGAGAGAGACUCACCUGCCCCACUCAGCUCGAUGGGGUGCUACCCUCAGACCUGCUGCUCUGGAGGCCUCAUCAGCACUGCACAACAGAGGACACUGGGUAUGGCAGGAAGAGAGCAGUGCCCACUGACCUGAGCAGGAGACUCCAUCUGCUGGGGUUCCAGCAGAGGAUGUUUGGCCGGAUUAGCCUGGCAAAGCCUCCCCCCUUAAUUUAGGAGAGACAGCGGCACCUCAGAGAGAAGACACCUCACAGAUGAAAGACAGGACACAUCCCAGGGGAAGGACUGUCUCUCCUCAACCUUGCUGCUACUUCCCAGUGCCUGCACACAUGCCAGGAGCCCUGGAUCCCCCACUACAGGCAUCACGGCGCUGUGUUGGAUGCAGUACAUCUGAGCUGUGCAGAGAGAGGGCCCCACAGCCAGCAGAUUGACAAGAUAAGAAAUACAAGAGUCUCCUCACUGGUCAAGCCACAAGCUUGUCUUGGCUGAGAACCCUUUGCUGAUCUGAUCUGGGGCACGGAGGCCAACAGCGAGGGACAGAGAAUCAACUGCACAGCAUAGGAUUGGUAUUCACUCACUGGGGCAUGGGACCUCCCCAGCCCUUGACUGUUCACUGUUUAUCCAAAGCACCAUCUCCCCUGGCCCGCUGCUGUAUUAGAAGCCCAGGUGUCAGGGAAACAAUGUGGGCUAAUGGUGAGGAAGGCAGCGAGACGGUAAUCACCAUCCACCCUUGGCAGACCGUGAGGAAGGCAGCAGCUGUAAAGGGAGUACCCAGAGGGGUGGCUUUGACCCCCUCAUUGUGAUGCACUUACCUUCCCUGAUUACCGUUGUGCUGUGGGAGAGGUCAGUUCAUUACAACAGGGCUUUUGCAAUGAAAUGGGACCAAAGCUCUCCCUGCUCAUGCUGCAGGGGGAACCUGAGCUUGAGCAGUGAGUGGGAGAGGGGCCAGGACAGUAAUGCACAAUGAGGUGUGAGGGAGUCAUGUAUUUCCCAGAGCACCUAGCUUUGGGCUCUCUGGCUUCUUCCAAGACAGUGACUCCAGUGUGCCCUGCCAUGUGGAAAACCUGCCUGAGUUACCCCCUCAGACUGAUCAAGAGCCACAGAAUUCCCUCCACUUCCAAACCUAAAAAGAUGCCUUGUCUUGUCACUCUACUCUGUGCUCUUGCCUCCAUGUCUCAGGCCUGGGCUGGGUCCAAGACCACCCUGGAAACACAUUCUCUACCCCAGAGGGAACUGGAGAUGGACUGGUGGGAGAAGAGUCAGGGUACAGAUUUGAGUCUUGCGCAAGAAUUUGGGUCUCUUGCAGCAAUAGCAAGGCAGUGCCAUGGGAUGCAGCUUGGUUAAAGGUGCUUCUUUCCAGGAGAGACAGUGAAAAGCAAGGUCUGCAGCCACCUAUGGAGCAGGAUGAUCAGACAGGGGGUGGCUUGAUGCCUUGACCAGCAUUUCCUCUCAGAAAAGAGGCAGUGAUGUUCCUGGCUGUAUGCGAGUCUGUGCUAUGUGUAGAAUGACCCUGGCAAGGGUCUCUGUGGUUGCAGGUCUGCGGCCAUCUACCUUGCUUCUGCUUUAGAAAGCCUUGGGAUCCUUUGCGGUUUAAAGAGGCUACAGGAGUGCAAAUGCUGCUUUGGGAUCGUUCCCAUGUCGGGAGCCUUUUCCUUGUUCCAUUUCCAUCUCUUUGUCAUGCGGGUCUGUUGCAUGGGGGAUUCAGAGCCAUCUUACGUGGCUCUGAGGGAAGAGCUCUACAAACAUCCCACAAGUUGCAGCCGCCUUGGUGGAACAGCAGCAUCCCUCAGGGGUCAGCUGCCUGGGGAAUGAGUAGAGGCACAUGGUCACUCAUGGAAAUGACACGAUGAGUUUCCUCCAAGCCCCUCCUCAGCCAUCCUUUCUCCAAGGCCGCUGGCGUCAUCCCAGCUGGCCUGGUCUGUGAUUCUAGUCAAGGUCUGGAACAUCACAAAACAUGGAUGACGUUUUGCCCAAACUCAAGUCCCCUUUGUGCUGGCAGAUUCCUGGGCAUGUCAUAGAAGGGAUGCUAUCCCUACUCAGAGCAUCACACAAGCCUUUGGGUUACCUCUGUGUGUCAUGAGGUGUGCAGGUCCCCAUAGACAAAUGCCACCAGUAUCUUCUUCAAUGGCCUGGGCUGAAAGGCCCAGUGCCACCAGGGCUCCUGAUGCCCCAAGCAAGGCAGGCUACAUGCCUGCCUGUCUGCAGGGACAGUGGCAGAAGCCCAGGGAGCCCUCAGAGUUUCUAGGAAGUUUCCUGUCUGACGCUCUAGCAGAUGCCCUGGGUCUUCAACCGCUGCCAGUCCUGGGCUUCCGGUAGGGGCUCCAGCCCGGAGCCCCCCUCCGCUAUCAGCUCACCAGAUGCUUUUUUCAGGAUACUGUGGUAAAACUGUGCAGGGCAUGAGCUGCAAUUUGGGGUUUUCUCUGGUGUCAGCCUUGAAGACAAAUUGGAUGAGGAAAAAAAAAAUGAUGCCCCUGUCACUGGUCAUUAGUCACUCUUGUUUUUCUCCUGUGUGUGCCGAGAUGAAGCGGUGGGUCCCCCAAGCGACCCUGCAUGGGUGGGCAGUGGGGCUGGGGCACUGGGGGGACUUGGUCAACAGUUACCUGGGCCAGAGGGGAGCAGAAGUUUCCCAGUCUCCUGCAGUCUUCAGCUUCUUGAUUGUGUCGCCCCCCAGUGGUGCACUGCGCCUUCCGGCUGCUGCCUCGGGCUCCUUUCCCAGCCACAUGGGGAAGCCUGCAUGAGCCCAGGCUUUAGCACAGGAGGCCAUGGGAUGGGCUACAUCGUGACUCCAAGUUUAAUGGGUGAUGCACCCCGUGACCUCCUCUGGAGCCAUUCCCUUGGGCUUGCCAGGAUCUGGACAGGAAUUCAUGCCUCGCUCAGUGUUCAUGGCUCCUUUCUACCAAGGGUUCUGCUGUGAUUGAGUAGAUGCUGUUAAGCAAUAGCAUCAUGCAGGCCUGUUGCAUCUUCCAUGGGGAAGGACCUCAAAGUAUGUUGCAAGCUCAGAGGGUGGCAGUCAUGGGGCCCUGGCCUGCACAGCAGCCUCACUGGGAUGGAGCACAGCUACACAGUGGUGGGAGGCGAGAAGCGAGGCAGAACUCUGAACGCUUACAUUGUGGAGAGGCUGAUUAGGGUAGCAGACUGAAGUUGUCUUGCCCAGCACAUGCCCAGAAGGUGCUGUGGGGCUGGCCAUGCUGAACCAGCCUGGAGCACAAGAAAUGCGUGAUUUUUCAGGACCCCUUGCAAGCUCACAGCUCACCAGCUGCCUCUUUCUCCUCCCUCCACUUUGGAAUUGGGCCUGAGGUGACCAUCAAAGUCACUUCUCCCUCUGACCUGGGGAAGUAGCCUGGUGGCAAGAGGUGGGGACUUGCCCCAGAUGUCAGACACCCCUCACUGUCUAAACCUCAAAUGGGACCAAGAGUAAGAGGCAGAAGAGAGGGCCCAGACCUAGGAAAGGAGCUUAGUGCUGAGCUUUGGCUCCAGGUUUGGCUGACACUAGCAUGUGUUCCCUGGUUACUGCCUUGUUCUCCAGGAGGCUCCCCUCUCAGCCCCUCUGUUCCCUCUGCAAGAUGAGAGAGGAACCAGCUUGCUGAUGUGAGUGUUUGCCAUGAACAGAAUGGGGCCUCUUGAACAGUGCCCAUGCCUUGGCCUGAAUUGCUUGGCGUAGGCACUGGUCUCUGCUCAGGUACCGCCUUGCAGGUCACACAGGAUGCAUAGCAGGAAUGAGAGACCUCAGCCUUGUAGCCUCCCCAGGGAUCUGUGCAGCAAAUGCAGAUUUGUACUUUAGUCAGCAAGUGCAUCUCUCAAAAGCACUCGCUUGGAGGGGGAAGUGGUAGAUGGGAGGGGGUACUGACAGGACUUCCCAGAAUCCACGCUCCAUGCUACCUCUCCCAGCCGGGUGCCUUGAAUUGGGAGCAUAGCAGAUCUCACAGGCAGAACAGGCACAGCCUGAAUCAACCAGUAACUGGGAGACUACUGAGGAGCCUGCAAGGUGGGCUGCGAGAGCAACCUGAGCCAGUAGGUGGUGGUCUGAGCCAGCCACAGGGCACCACGGAGCUCUGCCAUCUUGCAGAGAUGGGGUUCUCAUAAUUUGUGGGCACAUCUCACAAGAACAGCCAUAAUCCUUCUGUUGUCCUGAUGAUGUUCCCACUGUAGGGGUUCAAGGAGUGCGCCCACCUAAGGAGCCCUGCUUUGCUGUUCCAGCUGGAAGAUUGUGUUCUUCCUUUCCAUCCAAAACUAUUGUCCUGCAUUCUUGCAUGUUGUGAAAUGGCUGCUGGGUUUCACCCAGAGAUGGGUGCAUCCAGAAGGGAAGUGAGUGACUCUGUGCCCACAAGGGAUGUUCUGGACACUGCCUGUGCACGUGUGAUGUCUGAUGGGACUUAAAGUGAGACCAUCCCAGCAACUGCAGCGGGACCUUCUUCAAGAGAUUCUGCUCCCCCAUCUGCUAGCAGGGAGCUGGCUAGUGCCAGCUGGGCGUGGGAGAGUCAUCAGCGCUGUUGAUUUGGCAACGGGAGCUUUUCUCUGUGUUACCACCUAGUCUGUGUUUGCUUGUAGAGCACUAGCACUUCUGGCCAACAGCUUCCUUAACUAGCAUUGCUAACAUUUGCCUCCAUGCUGCACCUGGCUCAGGUGACCCAAGAAAGGAUGCUUUUCCCAGGGUGUUUUCCAAAGUGGUGGCUUUGUGAGCCACUAGAUGGUGCUGUGCAACUGUUCUUCAUGAGUCCUAGCUCAGCUCGGUGGUUGCAGCUGCCUCAUCUCAAACUGCAGGUUGGGAGGUUGCCGGGAGGGGGGGGCUGCUGCCUGCCCCUUACAUACAGGCUAAGCCACCCUUCAUAGGAGAGCUUUAUGCCCCUUGUUCCUUUACCAGGGCUGGCUGCUUUAUAGCAAUAGAGGAAGUGAUCCUUGUAGCUACCUAGAUAUUAUAGGAAAUCAUGGUUAAAAAAAAAACAUUGUUAAGGUUGUAAAUUUUGGAUGCCUCAUGCACCAUACCUCCUGAUGUCAGGUACAUACGUGACAGCUUAGCCUUUCUGUAAAUUAGACCCUCGGGUGGCAAAACACCUAGAAAGCAAAGAACAUAAAAUUAGCAGCCACCUUUUGCAAAGCUUGGGUUCAGUGACUUGCCCAGCUCCACACAGGAAGUCUGUGGCAGAGACAGAGAGAGAAGCCAGUCCUCCCAGGCUGCUUUCACCAUAAGACUGUUUUUUUUCUUCCCACUGUCGUCCAUCUCAUUCAUUCACUCCCUAGUUUCUGCACCAGACAAGACAGGGGCCCUACAAGCAAAAUCCUCCUGUGCCACACCCAGCCUGGAUUCAUCCCCUAGCACGGCGGUCAUGUGCACUGAAUGAGGCAUAGGAAGAAAGUGUGCAUGCUCAUCUAAGUAAAGACUAUCACACCACGUUACCAUGGACAACUGUGGGUCUGGCAGUCACUCUGUUGCUUGCCUAGAUAAUGUUGUUUUGACACAAUGGGUGGAAGUGCCCACACACAACACCCAUGUGGCAUCAGAAAGGUUACGUGCUGCUCUGGCAUGGAUUUAAAAAUAAAAUCAGGGCUAAACUAC